AAAUUGAAGAGUUUGAUCAUGGCUCAGAUUGAACGCUGGCGGCAGGCCUAACACAUGCAAGUCGAGCGGUAGCACAGAGAGCUUGCUCUCGGGUGACGAGCGGCGGACGGGUGAGUAAUGUCUGGGAAACUGCCUGAUGGAGGGGGGUAACUACUGGAAACGGUAGCUAAUACCGCAUAACGUCGCAAGACCAAAGUGGGGGACCUUCGGGCCUCAUGCCAUCAGAUGUGCCCAGAUGGGAUUAGCUAGUAGGUGGGGUAACGGCUCACCUAGGCGACGAUCCCUAGCUGGUCUGAGAGGAUGACCAGCCACACUGGAACUGAGACACGGUCCAGACUCCUACGGGAGGCAGCAGUGGGGA
RNAcentral lists this ribosomal RNA (361 nucleotides) under Klebsiella pneumoniae. Its description in RNAcentral is "bacterial SSU rRNA". It matches the Rfam family "Bacterial small subunit ribosomal RNA", at positions 1 to 360 of the family's 1533-position model. Lineage: Bacteria; Pseudomonadati; Pseudomonadota; Gammaproteobacteria; Enterobacterales; Enterobacteriaceae. The record is from RNAcentral.